RNAcentral lists this long non-coding RNA (1719 nucleotides) under Homo sapiens (human). Its description in RNAcentral is "HSALNT0071884". Lineage: Eukaryota; Metazoa; Chordata; Mammalia; Primates; Hominidae. The record is from RNAcentral.
AAAGAAUUCCCUAAUGGGAAAUGUGGUAUUUGUGUUUCUGUCAGUUAUAUGCUUCCAUUUUAUAUAUUAUAAAAUAGAUUUGUUUUUAAAAAAAAUCAGUCAUUCUCUUUGCCUUAAUUUAAAAAAUUGUUUCUUUCAAAAAAUUCUUAGUUCUCUUUUAGCUGUACAAAAGAGAAACAAAAUAGAUAACAUCCAGUUUUUGAUUCAUUCUCCUGAAAUACCUUACAAGCUAGAAAUUUGGGGAGUGAACAAACUAUUACAGAAUUUAAAGAGUUUAAGAUUCACUGGAAAUAUAUAUGACAACUCUUCAAGGAGAAAGCUGGUGAAAAUCGUUGCUACUCUGAAUCUUAUAGAAGACACGUUUUCUGUGGCAUUUCUCCACUUAAAUGGUCAGGAAUUUAAGGAUGUCUAGGAUAUGAACUUAUGAACAUCUGUGCAGAGAUGGCUGAUACUUUGACUUCAGAGCAAAGAUAAGUUCGCCAAAGCCGGGCAUGUAAACUGUGAUUAAGACAUUGGGCUUUGAAUUCAGAGUGAUCUGGAUUUAUAUCCUGAUGCAACACUAAAUAUCUCUGCAAAUAUAAGGAGGUUUGUCACCAUUCCACCUCCACACCUUUCUAACGACAGAACCAUCAUGUAUGUUUGUUGGAUGUCCUAAAUAUUACAACCCCAAGAUGGCAAACCCCUACCUACAAUGAAACUUUGUAUUUGGGAAGAUAACUUUAAGAAGGAAAAGAUGCUGCUAUUUGGGGAAACAUUAAAACCAGAAUAAAAAUUGGAAGUAAAAAUGAACGUAACCUCAUAUUUCCUAAAUCAGAUGUAAGUGCUACCUUGUUGGCAUGUGCAUGACCUCUCAUUCUGUCUUCAGUGUUCAUCAUUUGUAGCUUUGCCUUUUAAAUCCUGAUUAUAGACAUUCUGCUCUUUGAGGGAUAGGAGUAUAAAUGUGAACAUUUGAAAAAUGUGGAUUUCCAAGCAAAGUAUACUGCACAUAAUAGAUCAAAAUUAUUUAUUAAGAUGAAUGAGCCAGGCAUGGUGGCAUGCACCUGUGGUCUCAGCUACUAAGGAGGCUGAGGUAAGAGGCUUGCUUGAACCUGGGAGAUUAAGGUUUCAGCGAGUUGUGAUCAGGGUUGGGCACCAGCCUGGUCAACAAAGACUCUGGCUCUAAAUAAAUAAACAAACAAACAAAUAAAUAAAAUAAAUAGUACUUGGUAAAGAGUAUUUACUCAUAUUCUUUAAAUCUCGACUCAUUUUUUACUCUCUACCAUAUUUAAUUAAAAUGAAAAAAUAAAACCUCAUCUUUUAGUCUCCUGUUUUCUUCAUAGAUAAUUUAUAAAUAUGUGUGUAUAAGAAUCAUUGUUUUGUGAUUCUGACUGCCAGUCUCCAUGUUAAAUUAAGCAAAAAGCUGUCCUGCUGUGCACAUGAGUUGCAGGUGCAUAAAUUCAGUGCUUAAAUAAAUGUAAGGGAAUUAGCGAUACCCAGUGGUUUAUUUGAGGUAUGUGCACUUUCCUAUCGGGUUUGAAAUACGAUGUAAUGGCACUCAAUUAAGAAUGUAGAUUUUGAAAAGCCAAAUUCAGAAAGAAUUUAUAUAACUCCUUGAGACAAAAUAAAUUUACAAGAGUCUAGUCUCAUGAGGAACAAAUACUCAUUUUCAUCCAUCUUUCCACAUUAUUUACUUUGAUAGUAUCAUCUUUUUCAUUAUGGAUGAUACCAAUCCUACUCCUU